GUAGGGAAUAUUGGUCAAUGGACGAAAGUCUGAACCAGCCAUUCCGCGUGCAGGAAGAAGAUUCUAUGGAUUGUAAACUGCUUUUAGCAGAGAAGAAACGCCUUCAUUGAUGAGGGUUUGACGGUAUCUGCGGAAUAAGCACCGGCUAACUCCGUGCCAGCAGCCGCGGUAAUACGGGGGGUGCAAGCGUUAUCCGGAAUCACUGGGUUUAAAGGGUGCGUAGGCGGGAAAUUAAGUCAGUGGUGAAAGUCUGUUGCUUAACGAUAGAAUUGCCGUUGAUACUGAUUUUCUUGAAUUGGGUAGAGGUUAGCGGAAUGUGACAUGUAGCGGUGAAAUGCAUAGAUAUGUCAUGGAACACCAAUUGCGAAGGCAGCUAGCUGGGCCUUGAUUGACGCUGAGGCACGAAAGCAUGGGGAGCAAACAGGAUUAGAAACCCGGGUAGUCC
This 445-nucleotide ribosomal RNA is filed under the name uncultured bacterium. RNAcentral describes it as "partial 16S ribosomal RNA". It matches the Rfam family "Bacterial small subunit ribosomal RNA", at positions 354 to 796 of the family's 1533-position model. The record is from RNAcentral.